Molecule: long non-coding RNA, 228 nt
Filed under: Homo sapiens (human)
Lineage: Eukaryota; Metazoa; Chordata; Mammalia; Primates; Hominidae
Description: novel transcript, antisense C18orf1
Source: RNAcentral
UGGGGUGGUGGUGCAUGCCUGUAAUCCCAGCUACUCAGGAGGCUGAGGCACACGCCACCACGCCUGGCUAAUUUUUUGUAUUUUUAGUAGAGACAGGGUUUCUCCAUGUUGGUCAGGCUGGUCUCGAACUCCCAACCUCAGGUGAUCCACUCACCUUGGCCUCCCAAAGUGCUAGGAUUACAGGCAUAAGCCACCGUGCCAACCUAAUCUGAUGAUUUUUUUACAGCU